AGAGUCCCCGCUUGCUCGCUCGCCCACCCGCGGUGUAGCCGAGUUGCGUGUACGCCGCUGCCAUCGCCUCCUUUCCCUACGCCAUCGUGUCCUUUUCCUUGCCGCCUCCGCCGGGCACCUCGCUUUUUCACGUGACAGAGGGCGGCGGGCGGCGGGAGGAGGGCCAACAACUUACAAGCAAAGGCAGCGGCUGCCCGCUUCUUCCGUGUUUUGCCGUUAAGCACACCUCCCUGACGCGCUGCCACUCGCCCCCUUCUCUCUUCUCGACCUCCUCCUGGCCACGAAGAGAGCGGAGAGAGAGGCUUCUACUUCGCCGCUGCGUUUCUCACACACACACACACACACACACACACGUGUACGCGCACACACAGAGUCCUUUCCUUCGCCACGGCAGGCUAUUACUUCUUUUCGACUUCUUUGGGUAGUUGAGGUAGGUGGGGUGGGCUGGCACUGGCGUCUUCGACCCUCGUGUCUCUCUCCAUCUUCGCAUUGCCGGGCCACACGAUGCGGCGUCUUGUGAGCAGCACCCAUGCCUCCGUGUGCGGCGGCACUGGUGCCGAGGCGACCUCUACCUGUAUGGCGAUGAUGGAGGUAUGCGACGCGCUCUACUCGGGUAGGCGGCGCCGCAUCACGCUAAUGCCGUUCUCAGCAGCGGCGGCGACAGCGAUGACCGCAGUCGCCAUGCCGCAGCGGACGUUUUGGUCUGGGCCGCCAGGCAAAGACUUCCUGAGCCAUUUCGUGCCAUCUAGCAAGCCUACCAAGGUUGUUUCACCGCUUGAGUCGCUGCGGCCACCGGCGCCGCCCUCUGCAUCGGAUGCACGGCCCUUCGGUUCACUCAACCGCACCAACAGCAUUCGCCGCUAUGUGAACAUCAACGCUGCAGAGGCCGCCCCCAGUACCGCGGACAGCGAGGAAGAAGCUGCGUCUUUUGAGUCCACUGCGUCACCGUCGAAAGCGACCACAGCGCCGGCACCGCCACGUAUGGAGCUCUCUCGGCUGCUUCACCGCUAUCACAGCAGUUCCUCGACCGUCUCUGCGCCCGCCACCACGUCGAGCAAUGAACUCCCUGGCACUCGCCGUGAGGAGGGUCUACUGCCACCGCUGCCGCCGCCGCCGCAGCAGCAGCAGGCAGCUGGUAAUUCUACCGUGGCCAAGGCGCAGGCGGCCAUAGCGGCAGCAGCGGCAUUAAAGCGUCACGUAAACACCUCAGCGUCACUGACCGCUUCCAGCGCAUCAAGCACGCGGCCGGAGGCUGCCGAUGGCGCCGCGGGCAGUCCCACGCAUGGAUGUAAAGCAGCAACAAGUCAAGCGUACCGUGCGUCUAGUAGCAGCAGUGACUCACGGCAUCACGUACAAGUGUACAGGGAGCACUGUACCAUUGGUUGGUCUCCGGACGAAUUCUACAGCGUAGUGGCCGAUGUGGAGCACUACUCCGCGUUCCUGCCGUGGUGCGCGGGGUCGGAGGUGCACACAACGCGCCGGGUGCGGGUGCCACGCGAUGCACGGCGUCUCCCUCCGAGCCCCGCCGCCGCCGCAUCGCCUCUAGCCACAGGCUGCGAGGCGGCUGAGUCGGAGCUCGUCGAUGCGAUUGAGAUGACCACGACGCUGACCAUCGGCUUCUCCUUUCUCAAGGAGCAAUACACGUCGCGCGUGACACUCUACCCGGGACGCAAAAUUGUGGCGGCUCUCUACGACGAAGAGGACGUCGAUGUCGAAGCAGCGCCGCAAAACACCAGCAGGGCCAGCUCGGCGGCCGCUGCACUUUCCCGCGACAGUAACUCCGCGCUAGGCACGGGCAGCGGCGACGGGUUCGUGCUCUCCUUCUUCAGGAAGGCGGCGUCCACGGCAGGGGUGGCGGCCAAGCGGUCCAUUCUCCGGCACCUCCGGUGUGAAUGGGAGUUCGCCCCGGUGGAAGGGAAGCCGAACACGGUGGAUGUGCUCUUCUUCGUAUCGUUCGAGUUCAAGAACCCGAUGUACCGCCAUCUGAUCAUGAAUAACGUUGUGGGUCUCAUGACUCGCAGCUUCGAGCGUCGCUGCGAGAGCCUGUAUGGGCCCCCGUCGGCGACGAAGGUGUCGCUGCCGGUCCUGUCCUGAAGAGACGUGUCCAUCUCAUAAUCCCGUUUUCUGGUUCGCUAACACACUGAAUAUUCGUUGUUCCGGCACCGCACGUGUUGCGUGGGCGCUCUUGAGGAUGUGCGCGAGCGGGCGUUCGGAUGACACGCACACACGCACAGCAUAGCGCCAUGGCGCAUGCGCAAGAGCAGGGGGAGGGGGGGGGGCGAUUGAGUUCGUCCCGAGGAGGAAACAAGGUAAGGUGCAGCCCCUGCGGUGAAGUUGUGUCAGGGAUUCCCACACGCUGGCGGCGUCUCUAUCUCGGUGCGGGAGUGUGAAUACCAAGGUGCUCGCUGUCGGCUUCUUCAUUGCACACCACCCUCUCUCUUUCUCUUUCUCUGUGUGUGUGUCUUCUGGUGCGUACGUGCCAUGCUGUAUGCCAGGCAGACACCCGCUGAUCCCUCGUGACCACUGCCCAUGCAUGCCCUGUUUCGUGUUUGUUUCACCCACGAUCAUCAUCAGCGCCCUCGCCAGGUUGUGCUUCUCUUCCUCCGCCUGUGGCGCUGAGUAGUGGAUGGCAUUCUUUAAGCUCGUU
Molecule: unclassified non-coding RNA, 2647 nt
Filed under: Leishmania donovani
Lineage: Eukaryota; Euglenozoa; Kinetoplastea; Trypanosomatida; Trypanosomatidae
Description: gene:LdHU3.16.1410(CDS-product:Polyketide_cyclase _/_dehydrase_and_lipid_transport_putative)
Source: RNAcentral